Molecule: ribosomal RNA, 1243 nt
Filed under: metagenome
Description: bacterial LSU rRNA
Rfam family: Bacterial large subunit ribosomal RNA
Source: RNAcentral
UGAAUACGAGACGCUAAGGCGUCGAAGUAGUGUAUGUCAUACUUCCAAGAAAAGCUUGCACUGUCAUAGAUAAAAACGCCUGUACCAUAACCGACACAGGUGGGUAGGUAGAGUAUACUAAGGGGCGCGAGAUAACUCUCUCUAAGGAACUCGGCAAAAUAACUCCGUAACUUCGGGAGAAGGAGUGCCUUAUUCGUAAGGUUGUAAUAACAAGAUCCAAGCAACUGUUUAUCAAAAACACAGGUCUCCGCUAAGUCGUAAGACGAUGUAUGGGGGCUGACGCCUGCCCAGUGCCAGAAGGUUAAAGAAGUUGGUUAGCAAUUGCGAAGCUGAUAACUGAAGCCCUGGUGAACGGCGGCCGUAACAAUAACGGUCCUAAGGUAGCGAAAUUCCUUGUCGGGUAAGUUCCGACCCGCACGAAAGGCGUAAUGAUUUGGAUACUGUCUCGGAGAGGGGCUCGGUGAAAUAGACUUGUCUGUGAAGAUGCGGACUACCUGCACCAGGACAGAAAGACCCUAUGAAGCUUUACUGUAACUUGAAAUUGAAAUUGGACUUUAUUCGCGCAGUAUAGGUGGGAGGCGUUGAUUAUAAUCUUGUGGGAUUAUUGGAGCCAUCAGUGAGAUACCACUCUUGUAAUGUUAGAUUUCUAACUUUGAAUCAUUAUCUGGUCAAAGAACAGUUUCAGGCGGGCAGUUUGACUGGGGCGGUCGCCUCCUAAACGGUAACGGAGGCGUACAAAGGUUUCCUCUGAACGGUUAGAAAUCGUAUCUAGAGUGUAAAGGCAUAAGGAAGCUUGACUGUGAGACCUACAAGUCGAGCAGGGACGAAAGUCGGUCUUAGUGAUCUGACGGUACUGAGUGGAAAGGCCGUCACUCAACGGAUAAAAGUUACUCUAAGGAUAACAGGCUGAUCUCCCCCAAGAGUUCACAUCGACGGGGAGGUUUGGCACCUCGAUGUCGGCUCAUCGCAUCCUGGGGCGGUAGUACGUCCCAAGGGUUGGGCUGUUCGCCCAUGAAAGAGGUACGCGAGCUGGGUUCAGAACGUCGUGAGACAGUUCGGUCCAUAUCCGGUGUAGGCGUUAGAAUAUUGAGAGGAGCCUUCUUUAGUACGAGAGGACCGAGAAGGACAUACCUCUGGUGUACCAGUUAUCGUGCCAACGGUAAACGCUGGGUAGCUAUGUAUGGAGUGGAUAACCGCUGAAAGCAUCUAAGUGGGAAGCCCACCUCAAGAUAAGUAUUCUCAU